Panthera uncia (snow leopard) is the source of this 414-nucleotide long non-coding RNA. RefSeq lists it as uncharacterized. The transcript has 3 exons. NCBI's taxonomy places the organism in Eukaryota, Metazoa, Chordata, Mammalia, Carnivora, Felidae. The record is from RefSeq and is a predicted model, not a curated record.
GAGGCAGGAUCUGAACGCAGGCAGCUUUCUCCAGAAACCAGCCCUUAACCACGACACCACAGCUCUCUCAGAGGCAGGAUCCUAUCUGAAUCCUGUUGCUCAGAGAACAAGGCAAAGUUAGCAGGACGAAGGGACAAGUGACUCUGUGACUCCUGUCUUGACAGCCAAGAGCCAGUCAUGUAAGUGAGGUCAUCCUACAUUGGCUAAUCCCAAGCCAAUCUUCCAGCUGACCAGAGGCCCAUGAGCCACUGCAGGAAAAAUGAUGUCAAUUAAUAUGGGUAGCUCACACUGCUUCAGCUGCACUGUGAAACACCUUCUCCUGAAAGGUCUCUUCUCGGACUGCCAAGGAUGUCAACAGUCAGAACGUUCUGCAAAAUGGCAGGUAGGCAAGGUGGUGACUUCCACAAUGGACAA